UGAAUAUGUAGGAUUUUCUUGUUUUAAGGUGGCUUAAAUCUGUGGCUAACAAAGCCUUAACUGUGUUGCUGUCUGUUUGUACUCCUAAAAACAAGUGAUGAAAUAUACCUAAAUCUUGCAAUCCCACAUUAUAGACGGUUGAAUUUACGUGAGGAUUCUCACAGAAAACUCUUUCACUUAAGGUUGUGCUUAGUCUACAAAAUAUUUAUAUAUAUAUAUAUAUAUAACUGGUCAAAUAAAACCUAGUCUUUUUGCAGGGGGAAAAAAAGCUUUGAGUUCACUUUUGGUUAAGCAAUUUGAUGGGAAAUAAUUCUUUUAUAAAAGCUGGAUAUCUGAAUUUUUGACUUACUGACAAUUUGGGGCUAUAAGAAUUGAUAUAAUUAAGAGAUGAACUUAGGAGGAGUUAUGUAAAUUGUUUUUUUCUUUGUUUUUUAUUGUACGCAGGUACCUAAGGAUAAAACUGGCCUGAAGGGAAAAUCUGGGGGAAACUGGGGAGCUUGACUGUUCUUGCACCUGACCCUCUCAGCUGUCAGAUGCGGUGAUCUCCAUGGUAACUCAAACCCCCAGACUCUCGACAGCAGCCUGCGAGGAGCAGCAUUCAGCAGCUCAAGGGUCUCACGACCAGGUAAGCCAAAAUUAACCACCCAGCAAGAGCCUACCUCAAGUAUGUGGUUUUCUGUCCAACUGCCUUUCAGGUUUCUCCCUGGUGAAGCUACGCAUGC
Molecule: long non-coding RNA, 722 nt
Filed under: Calidris pygmaea (Spoon-billed sandpiper)
Lineage: Eukaryota; Metazoa; Chordata; Aves; Charadriiformes; Scolopacidae
Description: lncRNA (ENSCPGG00000016945.1)
Source: RNAcentral